AAUACAAGCUGUAAAACCAGGACCGGAGCAGCAUCUCAGAUCUCUUCUCUCUCCUGUUUCCACCUCUGCAGCACCGUUUAAAAGCCAAACAAGCAUCAAGAUGUCAGAAAAAAAGAUGUCUUCAAGUCGCAAGCACCAUCUCAAGAGUUUGAUGCUGUCCAUUGCCAAAGAUUUGCUGGAGGAGGAAGAACGGGAGCGAGAGGAGGAGAAGGAGCGGUACCUGGCUGAGAGCUGUCCUCCCCCGUCCAUGCCCAGGAGCAUGCAGGAGC
Long non-coding RNA from Nematolebias whitei (Rio pearlfish), 269 nucleotides. RefSeq lists it as uncharacterized. The transcript has 4 exons. NCBI's taxonomy places the organism in Eukaryota, Metazoa, Chordata, Actinopteri, Cyprinodontiformes, Rivulidae. The record is from RefSeq and is a predicted model, not a curated record.